UGCAGCCUUUCAAACCCUGGGCUCCAAAGGAACACAGAGGAAGCGGAAAAUGAGUCCACAGAGGCCCUUCUUCAUUUUUAUUCAGUCUUGCAACUUCUGGGUUUGAAUACGGAAGGUUGAUUCAGUUGCACAGUGGAAUACUUUCUUUUUAUUUUGUUUUGAGGUGCUGAGUAUUGAAUCCAGGACCUCACACGCGUCUCACGCAUCUAGUGUUUCUUCACAGAAUAAAUUUGAUACAGAAUCGAAAGGAUCCUGAGGUAGAGGAUGACAGCCCUGUGUGGGGGAAGCCUGAAGAACCGGUGGAGACUUCCUACUGUCACCUCUGUUAUGCAAAGGAAGGGACAAGAUUCCAAGCUUCCUCUCAGGGUUGCCCAGGUUGGAUGGAGACGCCUUCUUGGAAGAAAUAAAUCUGGAGGUGACAGCAGAUGGCAGUGGGAUCAUUGGAAUCCCAGGGAGACAGUGAAAGGGACCUUGGCGGGACCAUCAUGACAUGACCUGUCCAGAUCAGUGGACAGUUGGGAACCCCUGGGCUUUCCCAAGCUACAGAGCUAUGGUUUGCCCCAGGUGGCUAUCCCUGAUGGCCUCUCUGCCAUCACCACAGCACACCCUGUUCCUCCUGCAGUGUGCUUCUAUCUAGAGACCCCACCUGAAUGUGGCUUUCACAGCACAGCCUCCUGGACACAGGUGGAGCCCAUCACCCGCACCCCGCAUCUGCAUGCCUCGCACUCACCACCACCUUCUGCAGAAUUGACCUGACUCCAGGUCUGUGCCUUGGCUAGGCAGAGACUUCAUUAUGCAUCUGAGAGUGGAACGGAAGGCUCAUUCAUAUGCGAGCCCAGAGCUGGCAGGGCCCUGGGUCAAAAGUAAAGGAGCAGGAGGAAAUAAGAGGGCCUAGAAUGAGGGACGGGGGCUGUGAAUGGAGGAGCCACGUGGCAUGGCCACAUCCCCCUUGUAAGUGUCCCUGCCCACACACUGGGCACCAGGUAGCAGGUGCUGGUCCUUUCUACGCUGAGGUGUCUGAGCCUGGGUCCUGGGGAGCAGGUGCUCACUAGGUUCGACACACACAGCAAAGCCCCUGGAACACCCGGGGUGUAUUGAAAAGACCACCACCACCACCACCUGCAAGAAAGGAAGAAAGGCAGGCAGGCGAUGAAACAAGAUUGAGAUAUGGUUGCUCGUUAGAGACCUGCACAGCCCUGGGAAUGGAUGAAAGGAACAAAGGCUGAGUCUGAGAACCACAGACACUUUCUAGGGAGAACUGGGCAUUUCCACAGAAGGCAGCAAAGCGAGCAAGAAUGAAACUCUCCUGAUGAAUAAGCAAUUUAAGGGGACCCCGAAAUUCCUUGUCAGUUAUGCAGAAAGCUUCCCAGCGAGCUAACAUGAUAAUGGACAUGCCAGAGAAAGUAGAAAUCAGGCCAGGUUACGAAGGAGGGGUACACACAAAGAAAUAACAAAAGGCCGUGGAGAUAAAAAUCACAAGAGUGGUUCAGAAAAAGAAAUGAGAUCUAACUUGCACAGGCAGCAAAAGAAUGAGAAAAACGUUUUCUGACUAUAACAGGCCAAAGCAAGGGGGCUAAGGAGAUUGUUGGCUCAUUUCUAGCUGGGGCAGAGAGAACAUCUAUAAAGCCAUGCCACUAAAAAGCAGAGGCUUUUAAUUUUUCCUUAGCCUAAAAAGGUCAGCUGUGAUCUGAAAGACGCACCACGUGGAAUCAUGAGAGGGCAGAAAGCCAAGAGCAUAAGGAAAGAGCUUGUGUAUGCACUUCACAGGCCCUGAUGGCUUACAUGCCUAGGUACUUAAGGAAUUGGCCCAAGUCAGAGUCAAAUCACUAGCUCGCACUCCGAGGGGAUUUAUGGAGAACUGGUGAGAGGCCUGGAGAUGAGAGGAGGAGAGACCCAGGCAGGCUGUCCCUGCUUCUCUUUAAACCCAGGAGAAAGCAGAUGCCUCUAAAAGUGCUGGGCCUAUCAACUGAGCUGCUAUAAUAGAAAACUACUGGGACACGUCGUCAAAAAAUCAAUCUGCAAACACUAGGUCAUAAGGAAUUAGGUAAUAACCAGCACUGCCUUCCAAAGAACACAUUCUGUCAGAGUAAUCCAAUUUCCUUCUAGGACAGAAUGAUGGGCCUGGUAAAUCAGGAACGGCAAGAGACACAUAAUCUUCCUUAACUUAAAGAGCAAGGCGUUUAAUUUCAUCUUCCACGAGAAGUCUCAAGGGAAGAAAAUCAGGAACAAAGAGACCACAGUUGGCCUUUCUGGGGUUGGGCAGUUGGAAGCGGUCUGAGGGAUUCACCUAAGCAGCAGGGUUUUUUAUGGGUGUGUGAUGGGCAGAGGUAGGAAGUAACUGUGCUCUCCGUGGUGAUUCAAGCCUCAGGAGGUGACAGGAGGGGUGAUGGCGGAGAUGACAGUGGGUGGUGGUGGUGGCGGUGGCAGAGAAGUUUUGAAGAGAAGGGAAUAAUGCUAGUCGAGAUGGUAAUAGAGACAGAGACCAAGGAGAUGGUGGUGACGGUGGAAACGGUGGACAGGAUGGCAAUGAGGGUGGCAGAGACAUUGAUGGUGCAUGUGGAGGUGGCGGGAAUGGCGGAGAUGAAGGGGGUGGUUGUGGUGGCGGUGAUGGAAAGUGUAGUGGUAGAGAUGGACAUGUGGUGAUAGUGAUGGUGGUGGUGGUGGUGAUCACCUAGACGACACUUGGUGUCCUGUCUGUCUUCUGUUACUAUAAGAAAAUACCAUGGGACAGGAAACUUUCGCAGAGGACGGGUUUGUUUAGGUCAUGAUUCCAGAUGUUGCUAAGAGUCUUGUGCUAGGAUCCACUUGACAUCUGCAGAGGCCUCCUGCUACCCACGGUAGAUGGAAUAGUGUGGUGAGUCAGAGCAAGUGUGCAAGGCUGGGUCUCCCUUCCUUUUCUUAUAAACCCACUAAUGGUAUCAUUGGAACCCAACUCUUAUGAUUUCACCUAACCCUAAUAAAAAAGCUCCACAUGCAAAGGCCA
Cavia porcellus (domestic guinea pig) is the source of this 2983-nucleotide long non-coding RNA. RefSeq lists it as uncharacterized. NCBI's taxonomy places the organism in Eukaryota, Metazoa, Chordata, Mammalia, Rodentia, Caviidae. The transcript is spliced from 2 exons. The record is from RefSeq and is a predicted model, not a curated record.